CCUUCAAUUGUUUGUUUCGGAGAAGCGGCCUGGGCCCUUCGGACGUUCCCGUGUGGCCUUGCGGCACCGGAGACCUUCCGUUGGCCUUUUCGGCGGGCUUUUCCGAUUUGCGUUUGCUCGGGGAAGCGGCCUGGGCCGUGCGGAUUGUCUCGUGUGGUCGUCCGACCUUGAGACUUUUCCGCCGGCCUUUUCGGCGGGCUUCUCCAGCUCUCGUUUUCCCGGGGGAGCGGCCUGGGCCGUGCGGAUUGUCUCACGUGGUCGUCCGACCUCAAGACCUCUCCGCCGGCCUUUUCGGCGGGCUACCCCUUUUCCUUUACUUCAAUAUUUUUAAAGGG
RNAcentral lists this long non-coding RNA (335 nucleotides) under Zostera marina. RNAcentral describes it as "long non-coding RNA (ZMAR_LNC000383)". The record is from RNAcentral. Lineage: Eukaryota; Viridiplantae; Streptophyta; Magnoliopsida; Alismatales; Zosteraceae.